UUCGGGACUGAUUAUUUUGUGACUGAGUGGCGGACGGGUGAGUAACGCGUGGGUAACCUGCCUUGUACAGGGGGAUAACAGUUAGAAAUGACUGCUAAUACCGCAUAAGCGCACGGUGUCGCAUGACACAGUGUGAAAAACUCCGGUGGUAUGAGAUGGACCCGCGUCUGAUUAGCUAGUUGGCGAGGUAACGGCCCACCAAGGCGACGAUCAGUAGCCGACCUGAGAGGGUGAUCGGCCACAUUGGAACUGAGAGACGGUCCAGACUCC
This 270-nucleotide ribosomal RNA is filed under the name uncultured Eubacteriales bacterium. RNAcentral's name for it is "uncultured Clostridiales bacterium partial 16S ribosomal RNA". It matches the Rfam family "Bacterial small subunit ribosomal RNA", at positions 65 to 339 of the family's 1533-position model. Lineage: Bacteria; Bacillati; Bacillota; Clostridia; Eubacteriales. The record is from RNAcentral.